CGUUCACCUAGAAACUUCAUUUAACCAUCAAAACGCAGUGAUUUUUCUUGUCUCCGCAGGAAUGUAGUUUAUGUCAGGCUGAGAUUUACAGUUUUUGAUCAGUGAGUCCUCAAAAAAGUGAAAAUUCUCAAAAUCUGCUCUGGUUAGAGUGCAGCAUGUCAGUUGGUAGAGUGGAGGAGAGGUGAAAAAUCCGCCUGAAAAUUUCCCGAUCGCAUCGCCCUCACGACCAAACGAUAAAUGUUAGGGGAAUGAAAUUUGGUCAGAUUGUAAACAAUUUUCCUGGGAUUCAAAUGAAUCCAAGUUUGAAGACCUAGCUCUUUCUGAAGUGAAAUGGCAGGCAGCAGUUUAGACCAAAGUCGCACCGUUCUCUCCAUAAGAACCAAUGUAAACUGAAUCAUCUGCCUCAUGGAGGGACAGUGUUUUUUAAAUCGCUGUAACUCGGUCAUUUCUCAGAAUAUUUGGAAAAUAAUUACAUUUAUGGAAAGCCACAGCCUUCCUCUCGCUCACGGUCAUUUUAGUUUUCAGCUACCAUUAACGGUUAGCCCACAGUUAACGCCAGAACGAGACGUUGCACGCUGCUGCUGAGAAGCACUUUUCUGCUGUCUGUGGCAGGCACCGUUGCUAUGGGGCCCAUAGCAACCGCCCUUACACACGCGCAGGCAUGGUCGCACGCACACACACAGACUCAUUGGAAUGCCACACCCACCUCCACACCCAAUACCUCCACAGGAGCUGCAUUUCAGCCUGAAAAUCAGUUCAACCUCUCAGCUUCACACAGCCUUGAGAGCAGGGGUGUCAAACUCAGUUCCAACACACCUGAUUCAAAUGAUCAGGCUCGUUAUCAGGCUUCUGCUGAGCUUGAUGAUGAGGUGAUCAUUUGAAUCAGGUGUGUUGGAAAAGGGAAACAUCUAGAACAUAGAGGAUAGUGGACCUCCAGGAACUGAGUUUGACACACCUGCUUUAGAGUAACUCCAAUCCAAAUGUUGACCAGGUGAGAUCGUCCUGUCUUUGCCUUUCAAAAUAAAAGCACAGCACAAUUUCAAAAUAAAAGCCUGCGACGGACUGGAAACGCCAGUUAAACCUCUCAGCUUCACACAGCCUUUAGAGCAGGGGUGUCAAACUCAGUUCCAACACACCUGAUUCAAAUGAUCAGGCUCGUUAUCAGGCUUCUGCUGAGCUUAAUGAUAGCUAAUCAUUUGAAUCAGGUGUGUUGUAAGAAGGAAACAUCUGGAACACAGAGGAUAGUGGACCUCCAGGAACUGAGUUUCACACCCCUGCUUUACAGUAACUCCAAUCCAAGGUCAGAUCUUCCGGUCGUUGCCUUUCAAAAUAAAAGCACAGCACGAUUUCAAAAUAAAAGCCUGCGACAGACUGGAAACGCCAGUUAAACCUCUCAGCUUCACACAGCCUUUACAGUAACUCCAAUCCAAAUUUUGACCAGGUGUGAUCUUCCUGUCACUGCCUUUCAAAAUAAGAGCACAGCACAAUUUCAAAAUAAAAGCCUGCGACAGACCGGAAAACGCCAGUUAAACCUCUCAGAUUCACACAGCCUUUACUCCAAUCUAAAUUUUGACCAGGUGAGAUCUUCCUGUCUUUGCCUUUCAAAGUAAAAGCACAGCACAAUUUCAAAAUAAAAGCUUGCGACAGACUGGAAAACGCCAGUUAAACCUCUCAGCUUCACACAGCCUUUAGAAUAAAUACGCCUUUCCAGACAUGCACACAUCCCGAGCCCCUCCCACGAUUUCCGCGAGCGGGAAUUGUCUAGUAUUUCCAUUACUACCCCAAUGUCAUUUUUUCUUCACGUUUCUGCCGAUUUUCGGUCGCUAACUCGUCCUAGGGCUUUGAGAAAACCAAAGCAAAUUAUACAUCAAAACGUGCGGCUUCAUCGGGAAUAGUGUGCUAUGACUUUUCUAAGAAAUUCGUAAUUUUUUCGCAGAAUUAUUCGCAAAAAACUGCGCAAAAAGUCCCAUAGGAAAUGAAUGGGGACUGAUGAAAAUCUGCUUGAAAAAUCCAGUGUUUUCCAAACGCCACUGCUUCGCCAUACAUUCACCGAGAAGCUUCAUUUAACCAUCAAAACGCAGUCAUUUUUCUUGUAUCCGCAGGAAUGUAGUUUAUGUCAGGCUGAGAUUUACAGUUUUUGAUCAGUGAGUCCUCAAAAAAGUGAAAAUUCUCAAAAUCUGCUCUGGUUAGAGUGCGGCAUGUCAGUUGGUAGAGUGGAGGAGAGGUGAAAAAUCCGCCUGAAAAUUUCCCGAUCGCAUCGCCCUCACGACCAAACGAUAAGAGUUAGGAAAAUGAAAUUUGGUCAGAUUGUAGACAAAUUUCCUGGGAUUCAAAUGAAUCCAAGUUUGAAGACCUAGCUCUU
Molecule: long non-coding RNA, 2362 nt
Organism: Acanthochromis polyacanthus (spiny chromis)
Lineage: Eukaryota; Metazoa; Chordata; Actinopteri; Pomacentridae
Exons: 3
Source: RefSeq, a predicted model, not a curated record